GAUGAACGCUGGCGGCGUGCCUAAUACAUGCAAGUCGAGCGAACAGACGAGGAGCUUGCUCCUCUGAUGUUAGCGGCGGACGGGUGAGUAACACGUGGAUAACCUACCUAUAAGACUGGGAUAACUUCGGGAAACCGGAGCUAAUACCGGAUAACAUGUUGAACCGCAUGGUUCAACAGUGAAAGACGGUCUUGCUGUCACUUAUAGAUGGAUCCGCGCCGCAUUAGCUAGUUGGUAAGGUAACGGCUUACCAAGGCAACGAUGCGUAGCCGAUCUGAGAGGGUGAUCGGCCACACUGGAACUGAGACACGGUCCAGACUCCUACGGGAGGCAGCAGUAGGGAAUCUUCCGCAAUGGGCGAAAGCCUGACGGAGCAACGCCGCGUGAGUGAAGAAGGUCUUCGGAUCGUAAAACUCUGUUAUUAGGGAAGAACAAAUGUGUAAGUAACUAUGCACGUCUUGACGGUACCUAAUCAGAAAGCCACGGCUAACUACGUG
Molecule: ribosomal RNA, 497 nt
Filed under: uncultured bacterium
Lineage: Bacteria
Description: partial 16S ribosomal RNA
Rfam family: Bacterial small subunit ribosomal RNA
Source: RNAcentral